Molecule: non-coding RNA, 73 nt
Organism: Podarcis lilfordi (Lilford's wall lizard)
Lineage: Eukaryota; Metazoa; Chordata; Lepidosauria; Squamata; Lacertidae
Source: the annotation of a GenBank genome assembly
AGCCAGUGUGGUGUAGUGGUUAGAGCAUUGGACUCGGAGCUCAGAGGCCAGGGUUCAAAUCCCCACUCGGCCA